This is a long non-coding RNA of Ooceraea biroi (clonal raider ant), 590 nucleotides long. RefSeq lists it as uncharacterized. The record is from RefSeq and is a predicted model, not a curated record. Lineage: Eukaryota; Metazoa; Arthropoda; Insecta; Hymenoptera; Formicidae.
GUAGACCUCAUUAAUAUCUUCUAAAAACGAUAUCAAUAAGUGAGCAUUAUUGAGAGCAUGAGUUCUUUAAGAAGACUUUUUAUAGACCUCAUUAACAUCUUCUAAAAACGAUAUCAAUAAGUUAUCUUUUCAUAAGAUGUCUUUCAAAAAAGCUCUUUAUGAUACCUUCCGUGCAAUCGUGCCUCGCGCGGUUAUUUGCGACCAUUUACUUUCAUAUGGCAAAAGGUAUAUAGCGCUACAUUGCACGCAGAAAUAUCUAUAAAAUACAAAGAAUUACUAUAUAUAUAGAGAGAGAAUUACUCUCAAAGAGAGAAAGAACUUUGGCACUAUUUUUCGGUCUCACUCGGCUUUAAUUUUUUUCUAUAAUAUUGUUAAUAAAGUUCACUGAGUGGAACAUAACCUGACUACAAGAGACUAGGAAGAAGGAAACAAGAGAAGUCAUUAUCAGUGGUAGUGGAAACAGUAUUUCUUCCCAUUCUAUCCAAACAGUUAUUAAAAUCUGGUUACAGCAUGCUGGAGAUUGGAUCAAUCAAAAUACCAAACGACAUGAAUUGAAGAAAUGAAAUGUUUAGAAAAAUAGUGGAGAAAAA